UCAAAACUUUUCAGCUAGAGUAUGAUAGAGGAAAGCAGAAUUUCUAGUGUAGAGGUGAAAUUCGUAGAUAUUAGAAAGAAUACCAAUUGCGAAGGCAGCUUUCUGGAUCAUUACUGACACUGAGGAACGAAAGCAUGGGUAGCGAAGAGGAUUAGAUACCCUCGUAGUCCAUGCCGUAAACGAUGUGUGUUAGACGUUGGAAAUUUAUUUUCAGUGUCGCAGCGAAAGCGAUAAACACACCGCCUGGGGAGUACGACCGCAAGGUUAAAACUCAAAUGAAUUGACGGGGACCCGCACAAGUAGUGGAGCAUGUGGUUUAAUUCGAAGAUACGCGCAGAACCUUACCAACACUUGACAUGUUCGUCGCGACUCUAAGAGAUUAGAGUUUUCGGUUCGGCCGGACGAAACACAGGUGCUGCAUGGCUGUCGUCAGCUCGUGUCGUGAGAUGUUGGGUUAAGUCCCGCAACGAGCGCAACCCUCACUUUUAGUUGCCAUCAUUAAGUUGGGCACUCUGAAAGAACUGCCAGUGAUAAGCUGGAGGAAGGUGGGGAUAACGUCAAGUCCUCAUGGCCCUUACGUGUUGGGCUACACACGUGCUACAAUGGUAUCUACAACAGGAAGCAAAACGGCAACGUUAAGCAAAUCCCGAAAAGAUACCUCAGUUCGGAUUGCACUCUGCAACUCGAGUGCAUGAAGCUGGAAUUACUAGUAAUCGUGGAUCAGCGUGCCACGGUGAAUGCGUUCCCGGGUCUUGUACACACCGCCCGUCACACCAUGGGAGUUGGUUCUACCUUAAGGCAAGGUUUUAAACCCUUGACCACGGUAUAGUCAGCGACUGGGGUGAAGUCGUAACAAGGUAGCCGUA
Molecule: ribosomal RNA, 866 nt
Filed under: uncultured bacterium
Lineage: Bacteria
Description: bacterial SSU rRNA
Rfam family: Bacterial small subunit ribosomal RNA
Source: RNAcentral